GAACGAGAAAGUGGAGCAAUCCAUGAGUACAGUGGCGACCGGGUGAGUAACACGUGACCAACCUGCCCUCGAGUGGGGAAUAACUCCGGGAAACCGGAGCUAAUACCGCAUAACAUCGCAAGAUCAAAGCCGCAAGGCGCUUGAGGAGGGGGUCGCGGCUGAUUAGCUAGUUGGUAGGGUAAUGGCCUACCAAGGCGAAGAUCGGUAGCCGGCCUGAGAGGGCGCACGGCCACACUGGAACUGAAACACGGUCCAGACUCCUACGGGAGGCAGCAGUGGGGAAUUUUGCGCAAUGGGGGAAACCCUGACGCAGCAACGCCGCGUGGAGGAUGAAGUCCCUUGGGACGUAAACUCCUUUCGACCGGGACGAUACUGACGGUACCGGAAGAAGAAGCACCGGCUAACUCUGUG
RNAcentral lists this ribosomal RNA (411 nucleotides) under uncultured bacterium. Its description in RNAcentral is "bacterial SSU rRNA". It matches the Rfam family "Bacterial small subunit ribosomal RNA", at positions 64 to 507 of the family's 1533-position model. The record is from RNAcentral.